CCAUGCAGUCGAGCGGUAAGGCCCUUCGGGGUACACGAGCGGCGAACGGGUGAGUAACACGUGAGCAACCUGCCCCUGACUCCGGGAUAAGCGGUGGAAACGCCGUCUAAUACCGGAUAUGACACACCAUCUCCUGGUGGUGUGUGGAAAGUUUUAUCGGUCAGGGAUGGGCUCGCGGCCUAUCAGCUUGUUGGUGGGGUAAAGGCCUACCAAGGCGAUUACGGGUAGCCGGCCUGAGAGGGCGACCGGCCACACUGGGACUGAGACACGGCCCAGACUCCUGCGGGAGGCAGCAGUGGGGAAUAUUGCACAAUGGGCGAAAGCCUGAUGCAGCGACGCCGCGUGGGGGAUGACGGCCUUCGGGUUGUAAACCUCUUUUACCACCAACGCAGGCCCCGGGUUCUCUCGGGGUUGACGGUAGGUGGGGAAUAAGGACCGGCUAACUACGUGCCAGCAGCCGCGGUAAUACGUAGGGUCCGAGCGUUGUCCGGAAUUAUUGGGCGUAAAGAGCUCGUAGGCGGCGUGUCGCGUCUGCUGUGAAAGACCGGGGCUUAACCCCGGUUCUGCAGUGGAUACGGGCAUGCUAGAGGUAGGUAGGGGAGACUGGAAUUCCUGGUGUAGCGGUGAAAUGCGCAGAUAUCAGGAGGAACACCGGUGGCGAAGGCGGGUCUCUGGGCCUUACCUGACGCUGAGGAGCGAAAGCAUGGGGAGCGAACAGGAUUAGAUACCCUGGUAGUCCAUGCCGUAAACGUUGGGCGCUAGGUGUGGGGACUUUCCACGGUUUCCGCGCCGUAGCUAACGCAUUAAGCGCCCCGCCUGGGGAGUACGGCCGCAAGGCUAAAACUCAAAGGAAUUGACGGGGGCCCGCACAAG
Molecule: ribosomal RNA, 873 nt
Filed under: Nocardiopsis terrae
Lineage: Bacteria; Bacillati; Actinomycetota; Actinomycetes; Streptosporangiales; Nocardiopsidaceae
Description: bacterial SSU rRNA
Rfam family: Bacterial small subunit ribosomal RNA
Source: RNAcentral